This 253-nucleotide ribosomal RNA is filed under the name uncultured bacterium. Its description in RNAcentral is "partial 16S ribosomal RNA". It matches the Rfam family "Bacterial small subunit ribosomal RNA", at positions 524 to 776 of the family's 1533-position model. The record is from RNAcentral.
UACGAAGGGGGCUAGCGCUGCUCGGAAUCACUGGGCGUAAAGGGUGUGUAGGCGGCCCUCUAAGUUUGGUGUGAAAUCUCCCGGCUCAACUGGGAGGGUGCGCCGAAUACUGAAGGGCUAGAGUGCGGGAGAGGAGAGUGGAAUUCCUGGUGUAGCGGUGAAAUGCGUAGAUAUCCGGAGGAACACCAGUGGCGAAAGCGGCCACCUGGACUGCACCUGACGCUGACACGCGAAAGCUAGGGGAGCGAACGGG